AGUGAACGCUGGCGGUAGGCCUAACACAUGCAAGUCGAACGGCAGCACAGUAAGAGCUUGCUCUUACGGGUGGCGAGUGGCGGACGGGUGAGGAAUACAUCGGAAUCUACUUUUUCGUGGGGGAUAACGUAGGGAAACUUACGCUAAUACCGCAUACGACCUACGGGUGAAAGCAGGGGAUCUUCGGACCUUGCGCGAUUGAAUGAGCCGAUGUCGGAUUAGCUAGUUGGCGGGGUAAAGGCCCACCAAGGCGACGAUCCGUAGCGGGUCUGAGAGGAUGAUCAGCCACAAUGGAACUGAGACACGGUCAAGACUCCUACGGGAGGCAGCAGUGGGGAAUAUUGGACAAUGGGCGCAAGCCUGAUCCAGCCAUACCGCGUGGGUGAAGAAGGCCUUCGGGUUGUAAAGCCCUUUUGUUGGGAAAGAAAAGCAGCAGGUUAAUACCCCGCUGUUCUGACGGUACCCAAAGAAUAAGCACCGGCUAACUUCGU
Molecule: ribosomal RNA, 491 nt
Filed under: uncultured bacterium
Lineage: Bacteria
Description: partial 16S ribosomal RNA
Rfam family: Bacterial small subunit ribosomal RNA
Source: RNAcentral